RNAcentral lists this non-coding RNA (96 nucleotides) under Prosthecochloris aestuarii. Its description in RNAcentral is "TPP sequence". It matches the Rfam family "TPP riboswitch aptamer (THI element)". From Rfam's summary of the family: Vitamin B(1) in its active form thiamin pyrophosphate (TPP) is an essential coenzyme that is synthesised by coupling of pyrimidine and thiazole moieties in bacteria. The previously detected thiamin-regulatory element, thi box was extended, resulting in a new, highly conserved RNA secondary structure, the THI element, which is widely distributed in eubacteria and also occurs in some archaea. RNAcentral also lists the same sequence under 1 other name. Lineage: Bacteria; Pseudomonadati; Chlorobiota; Chlorobiia; Chlorobiales; Chlorobiaceae. The record is from RNAcentral.
UGUUUCACCUUGGGGUGCUGCACAAUGCGGCUGAGAAUAAACCCAUACAACUUGAUGCAGGUAAUACUGACGCAAGGAAAGAAGAUGAAACUGCUU